RNAcentral lists this unclassified non-coding RNA (247 nucleotides) under rhizosphere metagenome. RNAcentral describes it as "partial ribosomal RNA internal transcribed spacer region". The record is from RNAcentral.
GUAGGUGAACCUGCGGAAGGAUCAUUACUGAGUUAGGGUCAUCAUUGGCCCGACCUCCAACCCUUUGUCUACCUUAUCUCAUGUUGCUUCGGCGAGCCCGUACUUUGAAAUAUAAGUACCGCCGGGGGCCUUCGGGCCUCUGGUCAGUGCCCGUCGAUAGCCAUUAUUAAACUCUUGUUUAACUGUGUCGUCUAAGUAAAAAGCACUUAAUAAAUUAAAACUUUCAACAACGGAUCUCUUGGUUUUG